UAAGUUGGGCGCCAGGUAUGCAGACUAAAAUAAUAAACCCUCGCCUAGUUUAGCCGUCGAGCUCGCCGCCGCUGCCGCCGCCGAGCUCGAACGUCCCCGACCCCCGUCUAGGCCUCCGUCCCCAGCGGCCACUGCUGCUCCUUCCGCCUCGUGCCCGCCUAGGUACCGUAGGCGCCGAGGACCCGUGUUUCCUCUGUCCCUCCGGUCCCUCUCUUCUUCCUUCUUUCCUCCCCAACACGCCGCUGGAUCGCUCCUCGAGCGGCCUCGACCCGCUUCCGCCUGACCGCGCCCUCUGCCUCCCCAGGCCGCGCCGCCGCGCUUCAGGAACGUCCACCUCCGUCCGCAGCUUCGUCUCCUGCUCUCCUAGGGGACUAGGUGGGGGAGGAUGGGUAGGUCGGGAAGGAGCUACCGGGCGCACGCUGCUCGGGGAUGCGCCCCAUUCUUCCCCCCAGUGCGCUCCACCCCGUGAGGUCGGGGGAGGAUCGGGAUGGUGCCACUCCGGAGGAAAGGGAGAGAGGGACGGACUCGGUAUCCGACCGCCGCGACUCCAGCUAUACGAGUACGUGUGUGACAACGACACUGUACUACUGUCGGUGCUGGGUGAAAAAGAAGGUCAAGGAACAAAAACACCACCUACGUAGGUACUAAUAAACAAAGUUGAUAACUAAAAGUCAAAUCAGUUAGUUUGGGUAAGGCUACGACGAGAAAAUGAACAUGUUUAUUUGAUAACAAGUGAUUUGACUCGUCGAUCGAUGACCACAGAGUUUCUAAUUCGUGUCCAACCAUGAAUACCAGUCCGGACGGAGUUCAUCCCCUUCUUCUCCUCCGGACUUUCUCUCUCCGGUGUUCCAUCUUCGGAAAACUAAUCCUCCGUCAGGUCGUUCAACCUGCUUGACGACUAUUUCUCUAUUAAGAUAAGACUUAAAAAUAGACUUUUCGUCCUAACCUAGUGCCUACACACAACCGAUACAGAGAGUGCCACACACCUUGGUCAAUAACCAAUUAAAGUAGAACAAACAACUGUAACUACCACAACAGGUAACCAAAUUUUCUUUAAACAACUUCGAUUUCUACUUCUCCUUGAACACCUUCUCCUUUUCUUUACUGUACCAUCUUUAAGUAAGUGUGUAUAGUCCCAGUAUCACUCUCCUAACUAGACGAACUAAGCGAGGACUACCAGCCACCUAACAAAGACCAUCCCGAUUCUCAAGACACUUCCAUUCUAAAACUAGGUUGGAUAAUUCGUCAUCGUGUGUUUAAUGUCCUCUUAGAUAACAAACCAGGUUGGAUAUUUCAACGGUAUAUACGAGUCAACGAGUGUUGUCACGAUUAUAAUUGUUCCACUUAUUUGAGUGCGAGAUCGCUUUCUGUAGGAAAUAUAAAAACCCCAGUCACUAUGGACAGGUUUUUGUAUUCUACACAAGGAUCUAUUGUAGAAAGGAGGUUUUAUUAAAUAUAUAGUAGAUCUGAACCAAUCAACAUUGAAAACGAAAGACAAGAAAGGUGUUCGAAGACAUCCAAGUUUACUGUUAACAAUUUAAAACCCUGGAAUUCUGAAAAAUCAACUAACGUAGGAUCUGGCCCUCCAUAUUAUCGUAUAGGAUUAACAGAUUAACUACUAAGUCUUUCGAGACCGAGAUGAGUACAUAUAGUCAAACAUAAGUCUAACACUUCAUGAGGAAGAUAUUUCUUUAUAUUCUCUCAAAUCAAGAUAUUUUGUAUAAAUAUACGUCAAUAGGUUGUUUAAAUACAGGAUUUUAGAAUGUUGAAGAGAAUUCGACAAAAAAACGCCCUUAUGAUAUAAACUAGUAUUGGAACCGAAUUUACGUUAAAUUAAAGUUGGAGUUUAAACCACUAAAAAAUUACCCGUGUUGACACAGCCAUCUCCUGAUCUCCAACUGUCAAUACUUAAAACACUAUUAGAAGCCAAUAUGACAAUAUAUAUCGUGAAAGGUCCAAUAUACCAAGUGUAAGAGACUCGGUUAAGUGUUACUGGUAAGGUCUAAACCCGGAACGCAAAAAUUUAAUAAAACAUUGUAAAACCAACUAGAAACUACGACGAGGAAUUAAAAAAUGUAACUGACCACAUCUUGAUUUACUCACAACUGUAAGUUCCCUUCGGGGUUCGAAAAUUUGUCAUAUACUUACAACAAUCAAGCCAGGAAGUGUUUAUUCAGGGAACUACACACAGUAGAGAGUAACGCAUAUUGUAGACCAGAAAGAUAAAAAGUAACUAAAAAGAAGAGGGCCACGUGACUUAGACGUUCCCGCACAUCUGCCGUCCUACUCGUCGUCGUACGGCCACCAUUCUGUCCCGCACAUCUGCCGUCCUACUCGUCGUCGUACGGCCACCAUUCUGUCCCGCACAACCGCAUGCGCUUCGUCGGUACGUACUUAGAACCGCCGCCUACGAACGACCGGCAUCACCGUCGUGGUUAAGUUCGACCCUCCGCCCUUCGACCUCAUCGUCCUUGCUAACCAGCAGGUAAUCCGUACUUGGGUUGAGGUGACAUGAGGGAAAAGAAAGGUAUUGGUUAAGAAACCUCGUCUGUACACCCAUGUAAGUGUAUCGGACUUCUAACAAACGAAAAAAACCAAUCAAAUCUAAAUCUAAAGAGUCUAUAAGUGAUAAACUAGUUAGCUAGGUACAUUUAGAAUAACUGUACCAAACACCUUACAUGGAAAGUCGUAAAUGGGACUAAUCAAUUUUAGGGAUCGACCACUAUUCUCCUUCUCCUACUAGUCCUUUCGUACCUCAAUUCACUUAGUCAUGUCCUUCUUUCCGACAAGUCUUUUUUUAUCAUCUCCUUCUUUCCCUCCUCGUAGUCAGUUCCAACCCGAACCACCGGAGCUGCGGAUAAUGGAGGAGAUACGGUUCGGAGUGUAGUGG
This 2890-nucleotide ribosomal RNA is filed under the name Triticum aestivum (bread wheat). RNAcentral's name for it is "partial small subunit ribosomal RNA". The record is from RNAcentral. Lineage: Eukaryota; Viridiplantae; Streptophyta; Magnoliopsida; Poales; Poaceae.